Molecule: unclassified non-coding RNA, 149 nt
Filed under: uncultured Didymosphaeriaceae
Lineage: Eukaryota; Fungi; Ascomycota; Dothideomycetes; Pleosporales; Didymosphaeriaceae
Description: sequence contains ITS2
Source: RNAcentral
ACACCCUCAAGCGCUGCUUGGUGUUGGGUGCCUGUCGCGCCCCGCGCGCCGACUCACCCCAAACGCAUUGGCGGCGGCCCGUGCCCCUCCCGCGCAGCACAUUGCGCUUCUCGAGGCGGCGGGACCGCGUCCACGAAGCCGACACCCGU